CUGCUAUCAGAAUAGGACUAAGCCAUGCGAGUCAACGUAGCAAUACGUGGCAUACGGCUCAGUAACACGUAGUCAACAUGCCCAGAGGACGUGGAUAACCUCGGGAAACUGAGGAUAAACCGCGAUAGGUCAUAAUAUCUGGAAUGAUUUAUGAUUUAAAUCUAUAUGGCCUCUGGAUUGGACUGCGGCCGAUCAGGCUGUUGGUGAGGUAAUGGCCCACCAAACCUGAAACCGGUACGGGCUCUGAGAGGAGAAGCCCGGAGAUGGGCACUGAGACAAGGGCCCAGGCCCUAUGGGGCGCAGCAGGCGCGAAAACUCUGCAAUAAGCGAAAGCUUGACAGGGUUAUUCUGAGUGAUUUCCGCCAAGGAAAUCUUUUGGCACCUCUAAAAAUGGUGCAGAAUAAGGGGUGGGCAAGCCUGGUGUCAGCCGCCGCGGUAAUACCAGCACCCCGAGUGGUCGGGACGAUUAUUGGGCCUAAAGCAUCCGUAGCCGGUUCUACAAGUCUUCCGUUAAAUCCACCUGCUUAACAGAUGGGCUGCAGAGGAUACUAUAGAGCUAGGAGGCGGGAGAGGCAAGCGGUACUCAGUGGGUAGGGGUAAAAUCCGUUGAUCCACUGAAGACCACCAGUGGCGAAGGCGGCUUGCCAGAACGCGCUCGACGGUGAGGGAUGAAAGCUGGGGGAGCAAACCGGAUUAGAUACCCGGGUAGUCCCAGCUGUAAACGAUGCAGACUCGGUGAUGAACGGGCUUCGUGCCUGUUCAGUGCCGCAGGGAAGCCGUUAAGUCUGCCGCCUGGGGAGUACGGUCGCAAGACU
RNAcentral lists this ribosomal RNA (815 nucleotides) under uncultured archaeon. RNAcentral's name for it is "bacterial SSU rRNA". It matches the Rfam family "Archaeal small subunit ribosomal RNA", at positions 27 to 850 of the family's 1478-position model. The record is from RNAcentral.